This 3360-nucleotide unclassified non-coding RNA is filed under the name Leishmania donovani. RNAcentral describes it as "gene:LdHU3.26.2750(CDS-product:hypothetical_prote in_conserved)". Lineage: Eukaryota; Euglenozoa; Kinetoplastea; Trypanosomatida; Trypanosomatidae. The record is from RNAcentral.
AUCCCCCUCCCCUCCCUACGGCUCCACUCGCGUGCAAAGGCAUUUGUGUGCUUUCGUGCAUGCAUAUACAGGAGCGCGCGUGCGUGCACGCUGUUCUCUCUUCUCCCUGACGACGCCUGGCACGCACACACAUACAACGGACUCGUGUUUUGGUCUCUUAGCCUAUCACUUCCUUAAACGUUUCCGCAAGUAACAACGACGGGCAUUCAGUCCUCCGCUGCUCGUGUGCCCGACGACUCGUGGGGGUGUACGCCGACCCCCAUCGACGUCAGCGCGGCACGCGACUUAACCAUUUCGUGGCUCUCGCACGCCGAGUCCGUCCUUGUGCUCGAAUGGACAGAGGGUGAGCGGGCGCGACAUGCGCAGCUGCAGCAAAGAAGCCAGCAGCGGAAGGCUCAGCAGCAGCAACAGCAGCCGGCGACGACGGCGGAUGAGCUGUUGGCAGAGGCCGCUGCCACCAGGCUGCGUUGCGCUCGCGUCGCCUCCUCGUCCUCCGAGGAUGAUUCAGAUGACGAGCGUCGUGCACAGGGACUGGUUCCCCUCCACUGCGAUCACGCACCCUUUCCCUUCCAUCGAAGCAGCGGUGUGGUCUUCGCGCUGCCGCCGAGUAGCGUCGAUGAUGGUGGCGCCGCUACUAUGAACGCGGCAUCGCUGCCAGACCGCGGCGAACAGGCGCUGAGCGUGAUGGACAGUGUUCCUGUGGGAUUCGACUACUAUGCGGCUUUGCAGAAGGCCUGGUCUCGCACUCCGGAGCGGCCGCCAAGUCUGCCGCCGCUCGCCACGGCGUCGGAGGUGAACCUCAGCGACAUCGACGAAAUGCUCUCUGGCGACUCCGACUACGAGGAGCUACGCCCGCCGGUGCCCCUGGGACUCAUGAUUAGCUACUUCACUGUGGACUGGCGUGAUAGCGGGCUGUACGAUGUUGUACAGCGACGAGAGGAGUCGCUUUCGCAGAUAUCCCAGAAGAAGAAACCUUAGAGACGAAUGAGGGUGCUCGGGGACAGCCGUGUGUGUGUAUAUAUAGGGAGGGGGGAGGGAGAGGGAGACGGUGGAGGGUAGAGGCAAACGUAGGCGAAGAAUGUGGACGGGGAGAGGAAGUGGGAGACAUGAGCGCAUAUCUCUGCGUGUCUGUGCGUGACCGUACCCGGACUUGUUUCAAUUCGUAUUGCUUCAAGUGCAAGUGUAACCCUUGUCCCGUGCUGACCCUCUGCUCUUCGCCCCCUCCUUCCCCCCUCCGUCUCCGUCUCCCCGGUUUGUGCGUGUGUGUGUGCGGCACUGCCUGCGUUAUCGCAGUGUGGGUAUGUGCGCGCGUGCUCAUGCUUUUACGCGCACUGGCAGCCCUCGCUCUCGUGUUUAUGUUGUUAUCUAUUUCCCGUGCUGAAUACAUGUGAUGGUGACGCUCGACGACGGUGAUGACGGUGGAUUUGUUUUCUUUCUGUUUUUUUUUUGUUGUUGUUGUUUUCGUGUUGUUGCUUUGCUGCAAGGGUAUGGAUAGCGCGGACCCUCCACACUCCCUCCACACCUCCUUCCCUCCUUCCUCUUCGCCCUGCCGCUCUUCUCAUUCCUUUUCUGCUUUGUGAUCCCCUUUUCAAAUAUUUUUCGUCCCCCUUCUCCCUCCCUUUCCCUCCCGUAACUCCCAUCACCCACCCCGCCCCGCAAAGGCCGAUGCGCGCACGUGUCUAACGCCACUUCCACGCCUUUCUCUCUGUGCCUAUGCGUGCGUGACAGCAACGCUGGUGGCAUUAUAGCUAUUAGUAUUAUGACAUAUCUGUGUGUGUGCGUGCGCUUGUGCUUGCCAUUCCGUCCUCUGUGCCGCCGCCGCCGUUGACCCCCUCUCUUCCUUCUCACCUUCAUCCUAUCCCUCCUCUCUGACUCGCGCGUGAAUGUCAAGAGGGAUGGAGGAGCUGUGUGUGUGUGGGGGGGCACUGUGGCGCGCAGCAGCACAACCGCAAUAUAAAAGGAGAGAGAAGCUGAGCGCGAAAAGAAAAACGGAAAGCGGGACGCAGGUGGCGGAGGAGGAGGGAAGGGGGCGCAUGCAAGCUUUUAUCUCCUGCAUUCCACUGCAGCGGCAGCGAGCAGGGUGUGUGAGACGACAGCGACGAAGAGAGGGAUGAUCGGCAGCAGCGAGUGUACGAGCGGGUGUAUAUACAAAAAGGGCGUUUUGCUGUGGCGCCUAUACGCUUGACGAAGGCGGGAGGGGGAAGAUGGACGAGCGGGGAGAGAAGGGGCCGGCGGGCGGGGGAAGGGGGAGGGAUGGACUGCCAGCUGGGGUGCAUGUAUGAGCCCUCUUUUUUUUACCCGUCCCAGCGGCCUGCCGCAAGGGACACACACACACACACACACACACACACACACACACACACACACACGAGCAACAAGAGUAAGCGGGUGCGCACCCUUCGUUGUUCCUCUUCCCCCCCCUCGACACGCACGCACACGUUCUAUACCCUUUUAUGGUUCACUGUUGGUCGCGGCUGUGUGUGUGUUUGUGUGUGUGCGCAGUAUGCGCUGUUGAUCUUCCAUAAUGAGUCUACGCCUGCAUCAUUGAUGCAAGCCCGUUGGAACACACUUAUAAGAACUCCAAAAAGACUCAACAGGCGAAGGGAGAGAGCACCACAGGGGAGUAGGUCCGCUCUGUUAGGCAGGAGAUGCCCUGUACAUGUGCUCGUGUAUGUGUGUGUGCACCUCUCUUUCUCUCCUUUCCUCCCUCUGAGCUGCGUUCGUGGCUGACAAGCCCGACUGUCUUUCUCCCUCAGUUGACAAGAGCAGGGGGUGAAGUGGGGUGGAGAAGGACCGUGAGGAGUGCAGUAGGGAGAGACUGUUGAGAGGGGAGGUGCGUGUCUGUAAGGCACGGGGCACGCCUGCACAGAGGUGGCAAGACCGCACAGAUAGCAACAGCGGUAGCACAAACAAGAGAGGGGCACCCUGGUCCAUCUUUCGAUGUUUUACAAGUCUUUGAGCGCGCGGGUGGCGAGGCUCACACGCCCCUGCUUCCCCUCAUCAUGCGCUGUCGAUGGCCCCGCCGUCCUGUGGAGUCUUCACAAACGUGUUGGCGCGCAUCACGUCGGAUCCUGCGACCAGGUCCUCUAAUGCACACUCGCCAUUCUCCGCCCAUUCCAACCUCCCGUGUAUCCGCAUACCUCUCCUUGUCUACGUGUUGUGGUGGUGGUUGCCGCCACUCGUUUCUAAAUGGCGUUCCUGUCAUGUUCGCUCUUGCUGGCUGCACCGCGCCCAUUCUCUUUCUCAAUCUUUACGCCCGUCUUUCCAAUCCACACAUCAUGGAUGAUGCAUACUGUGCAUAUAUGUAUUGCACAUUGUAUGCACCCACACACUCUCUCACGCACACACCUGCCCGCGCAG